GCUUCCUGAGCUUCAGCUGUUAUGUCAGUUCUUUGAUAUACGCAUGUGGCGCCCUUUGUGGCUAAAUGAAAUGAAAUCAUUAGUAAAACAUAAUCAAUAUUCAUAAUAUACACUUUUACUGUCUUGCCUGCUGAAGAGGCGUUAGAAAUUUAUGCUUUUUUUAACUAUACUAAGAAGUUUUGAGUUGAUGUUGUUUUCAAUAUUGAAAAAUAGGGAAAAAUUCUGAAGAAGUAUAAAAAAACGGAUACCUAAUUCCUCUACAAAAAUGAAAAGAUAUAAAAAGAAAAAUGGUCUGAUCUAGUAGAAAGUAUAUUUCCAAGGAGGAAUCACUUCUAAAAUCUCCAUUCGUUUUAUGAAGACAAAAAUGUUUCAAUGGAAGUUUAAGAAGGAAAAAAGGAAUUUUCAUGUCAAAUUGAUCCAAGUGAUUUGGAAGAUGAUAUCUUUUUAUUUUCAUCAGUAAUUUAAUGGACUAUGGUGCCAAGGGAAUGUAUGAUGGGAUAACUUAUACUGCCAUAGGAUAAAUAAAUGAUAUGUAAGAUCAAUGCAGUAUUUGAUAAUAAUAAUAAUUUAUUUGCACACAAGAAAUUCAUAAAAACAUACGCCAUCAAAAGUUUACAUGGCUUGUCAAUCAAAAAAUCUUAAACUAUAAAUGAGUAGUAUUGAAAGUCAUUGUAAUGAAAACAUGAAUAUGUUUGUAGUUACAAAUUAUCAAAUAAUAUUUACAAAAAUGAUUCCUAAAUAAAUCACUCAACCUGUA
This is a long non-coding RNA of Harmonia axyridis, 757 nucleotides long. RefSeq lists it as uncharacterized. The transcript is spliced from 2 exons. Lineage: Eukaryota; Metazoa; Arthropoda; Insecta; Coleoptera; Coccinellidae. The record is from RefSeq and is a predicted model, not a curated record.